RNAcentral lists this ribosomal RNA (497 nucleotides) under uncultured bacterium. RNAcentral's name for it is "partial 16S ribosomal RNA". It matches the Rfam family "Bacterial small subunit ribosomal RNA", at positions 28 to 507 of the family's 1533-position model. The record is from RNAcentral.
GAUGAACGCUGGCGGCGUGCCUAAUACAUGCAAGUCGAGCGAACAGACGAGGAGCUUGCUCCUCUGACGUUAGCGGCGGACGGGUGAGUAACACGUGGAUAACCUACCUAUAAGACUGGGAUAACUUCGGGAAACCGGAGCUAAUACCGGAUAAUAUAUUGAACCGCAUGGUUCAAUAGUGAAAGACGGUUUUGCUGUCACUUAUAGAUGGAUCCGCGCCGCAUUAGCUAGUUGGUAAGGUAACGGCUUACCAAGGCAACGAUGCGUAGCCGACCUGAGAGGGUGAUCGUCCACACUGGAACUGAGACACGGUCCAGACUCCUACGGGAGGCAGCAGUAGGGAAUCUUCCGCAAUGGGCGAAAGCCUGACGGAGCAACGCCGCGUGAGUGAUGAAGGUCUUCGGAUCGUAAAGCUCUGUUAUUAGGGAAGAACAAAUGUGUAAGAAACUAUGCACGUCUUGACGGUACCUAAUCAGAAAGCCCCGGCUAACUACGUG